Molecule: long non-coding RNA, 1469 nt
Organism: Triticum dicoccoides
Lineage: Eukaryota; Viridiplantae; Streptophyta; Magnoliopsida; Poales; Poaceae
Exons: 8
Source: RefSeq, a predicted model, not a curated record
CCUCCUCUCCUCGCAACGGCCUCCUCCUUCCUGCACCGCCUCUUCCUCUCUUCCUUGCUCAUGGCGCCUCCCGCCGGUCGAUGCCUCCUGUCUUGCCCUUUUCGUGGGGAGCUGGAGAUGGGAAGAUGGCGUUGGAGGAGGAAAACAAGAUCCAGGCAGUGGAAAGAUGGCGUUGGAGGAGGGAGCAUGGGUGGCCGCCGUAGCUGAAGCACGGGUGGCUUGGUUGUGGCGGAGCAUGGCGGGAGUCCGGGCGGCGUCGUGGUCGUGGUCAAGAGGAGAAGCACGGGUGGUCGCCGCAGCUGAGCUUCUAUGUAACAUAGUUUUGAUGAAUCCUCUGCCGCAUCUGGCCUCUACAGAUUCAUUUUCGUAUCUACCUAUAAGGCGUUCGAUGAAAAUCCAAGCUGCUGCAGUGGCAGAUUACGCCGUCCGCUUGCAUGCUGAGCCAUGUUGGGCUCUCCUGUUCUUUUUUGUUGGCUUGGCGUACGCACUGGCAACCUCCUGCGUGAAGGAUUCAGCAUGCCUCUAUUUGAGAGAAAAGAUAUGAAGAAGCGGAUUUUCAGAGUAUCUCAGGCACACAAGCUAAAGGUUCACCAAGUUCAGGGAAAGAAAAGUUUCCCUAGACACGUGGCGGCGGUCAAGACAAGAGCGGCGCUGUGAGCGACGGCCCUCGAUCGUCUUCCUUGUGGAAUCAGGUACGCGUCGUCCAUCGUGGCCCAUCGUGGGUGUUGCCAGGCGACCGGAGGCGGCUACAGCAGGCCAGUGCCCGUGAUCAAGACAGACACCGGGAAGGCUGUCGGUCUACAGUUGUGCACUCGAUUCAAAUGAUUAUUCUCCGUUCUUUGCCUCAGAACUACAUAUGAGAGGUACAAAGGUUUGGCCAAGAUACUCAAUGAAGCUAUUCGAUUUAAGUAGUAAGGGUACCGGCGCCCAAAUAAAUUCAGGAGUACUGCAAAAUUCAAGUUGAUGGCUGGUGUGCCUUGUUGUUUUACAGUAUGAUAGUUGUUGAAAGUAUGUUCUAGAAUGUAGUGCCAUCGAUAGGUUCUGCUGGUUUCUACCUCCAUGCUGCUUAAACCAAUUACCUCCUCAAUUCUACGCCAUGGUAGGGCAGAUGAUUGUGUGCAAGGAAGGAAGGAUGCAAACGAUUUGAGUUCCCAGUUUGUACAGCCCCUGAGGAUUGGAAGGUCGUGAUGUUAUCUACUUGUCUCUUUCAUUCCGUUACAACCUGCUGUUCUUGCUCAGUUGUGUCCAUCAAGGAUAUGUUCUUUGAAUUUAGAUGAUGCACGGAUAAAUAACUCUUAUGUGACAAUGCAAAUGAAGGGUGCAGUGGCUCAGCCCUUUAGAUUGUUGGCGAGAAUAUUGGAGUAUAAAUAAAUACAAGUUGUUAACAACAACAUAAAUUUUUGGCUCUCUAUAUCCUCAUGAAUGAGGGUUUGUAUAAUUUUGGGCAUUCCUUUGCCUGUAGAAAUCGC